RNAcentral lists this ribosomal RNA (499 nucleotides) under uncultured bacterium. Its description in RNAcentral is "partial 16S ribosomal RNA". It matches the Rfam family "Bacterial small subunit ribosomal RNA", at positions 29 to 507 of the family's 1533-position model. The record is from RNAcentral.
ACGAACGCUGGCGGCGUGCCUAAUACAUGCAAGUCGAGCGGACUGAUUAAGAGCUUGCUCUUAUGACGUUAGCGGCGGACGGGUGAGUAACACGUGGGCAACCUGCCCUGUAGAUCGGGAUAACACCGAGAAAUCGGUGCUAAUACCGGGUAAUAUCUGAGAUCACAUGAUCUUAGGUUAAAAGAUGGCUCCGGCUAUCACUACAGGAUGGGCCCGCGGCGCAUUAGCUAGUUGGUAAGGUAAUGGCUUACCAAGGCGACGAUGCGUAGCCGACCUGAGAGGGUGAUCGGCCACACUGGGACUGAGACACGGCCCAGACUCCUACGGGAGGCAGCAGUAGGGAAUCUUCCGCAAUGGACGAAAGUCUGACGGAGCAACGCCGCGUGAGUGAUGAAGGGUUUCGGCUCGUAAAGCUCUGUUGUUAGGGAAGAAACAGUACCGAACGAACUAGGUCGGUACCUUGACGGCACCUAACCAGAAAGCCACGGCUAACUACGUG